This 465-nucleotide ribosomal RNA is filed under the name uncultured bacterium. Its description in RNAcentral is "partial 16S ribosomal RNA". It matches the Rfam family "Bacterial small subunit ribosomal RNA", at positions 28 to 507 of the family's 1533-position model. The record is from RNAcentral.
GACGAACGCUGGCGGCGUGCUUAACACAUGCGAGUCGAACGGAAAGGCCCCUUUUGGGGUACUCUAGUGGCGAACGGGUGAGUAACACGUGAGUAACCUGCCCUUGACGUCGGGAUAACUGCAGGAAACUGGGGCUAAUACCGGAUAGGAAUCCUUGCGGCAUGGUGGGGGUUGGAAAGCUUCGGCGGUUUUGGAUGGACUCGCGGCUUAUCAGCUUGUUGGUGGGGUAGUGGCUUACCAAGGCGUUGACGGGUAGCGGGACUGAGAGGGCGACCGGCCAUCUUGGGACCGAGGGACGGCACAGAUGGCGAAGAGUGGACGCAGUGGGGAAGACUGCACCAUGGGUGGCGGCUUGAUGAAGAAAGGCCGCGGGUGGGAUGACGCCUUUAGGGUUGUAAAACGCCAUCAGGAGGGGAGCAGCUUGUGGUGACGUUACCUGCAGAAGAAGCACCGGCUAACUACGUG